This 1017-nucleotide ribosomal RNA is filed under the name uncultured bacterium. RNAcentral's name for it is "bacterial SSU rRNA". It matches the Rfam family "Bacterial small subunit ribosomal RNA", at positions 355 to 1375 of the family's 1533-position model. The record is from RNAcentral.
UGAGGAAUAUUGGUCAAUGGACGAGAGUCUGAACCAGCCAAGUAGCGUGAAGGAUGACUGCCCUAUGGGUUGUAAACUUCUUUUAUACGGGAAUAAAGUGAGGCACGUGUGCCUUUUUGUAUGUACCGUAUGAAUGAGGAUCGGCUAACUCCGUGCCAGCAGCCACGGUAAUACGGAGGAUCCGAGCGUUAUCCGGAUUUAUUGGGUUUAAAGGGAGCGUAGGCGGACGCUUAAGUCAGUUGUGAAAGUUUGCGGCUCAACCGUAAAAUUGCAGUUGAUACUGGGUGUCUUGAGUACAGUAGAGGCAGGCGGAAUUCGUGGUGUAGCGGUGAAAUGCUUAGAUAUCACGAAGAACUCCGAUUGCGAAGGCAGCUUGCUGGACUGUAACUGACGCUGAUGCUCGAAAGUGUGGGUAUCAAACAGGAUUAGAUACCCUGGUAGUCCACACAGUAAACGAUGAAUACUCGCUGUUUGCGAUAUACAGUAAGCGGCCAAGCGAAAGCGUUAAGUAUUCCACCUGGGGAGUACGCCGGCAACGGUGAAACUCAAAGGAAUUGACGGGGGCCCGCACAAGCGGAGGAACAUGUGGUUUAAUUCGAUGAUACGCGAGGAACCUUACCCGGGCUUGAAUUGCAACUGAAUGAUGUGGAGACAUGUCAGCCGCAAGGCAGUUGUGAAGGUGCUGCAUGGUUGUCGUCAGCUCGUGCCGUGAGGUGUCGGCUUAAGUGCCAUAACGAGCGCAACCCUUAUCGAUAGUUACCAUCAGGUUAUGCUGGGGACUCUGUCGAGACUGCCGUCGUAAGAUGUGAGGAAGGUGGGGAUGACGUCAAAUCAGCACGGCCCUUACGUCCGGGGCUACACACGUGUUACAAUGGGGGGUACAGAAGGCAGCUACACGGCGACGUGAUGCUAAUCCCUAAAGCCUCUCUCAGUUCGGAUUGGAGUCUGCAACCCGACUCCAUGAAGCUGGAUUCGCUAGUAAUCGCGCAUCAGCCACGGCGCGGUGAAUACGUUCCC